This 324-nucleotide unclassified non-coding RNA is filed under the name soil metagenome. Its description in RNAcentral is "partial contains 5.8S ribosomal RNA, internal transcribed spacer 2, and large subunit ribosomal RNA". The stretch from base 1 to 120 matches the Rfam family "5.8S ribosomal RNA", at positions 35 to 154 of the family's 154-position model. The record is from RNAcentral.
GAUGAAGAACGUAGCGAAAUGCGAUAAGUAAUGCGAAUUGCAGAAUUCAGUGAGUCAUCGAAUCUUUGAACGCACAUUGCGCCCUGUGGUAUUCCGCAGGACAUGCCUGUUCGAGCGUCAUUUCAACCCUCAAGCCCCGCUUGGUGUUGGGCCCCGCCCGCUGUGGCCGGCCCUAAAGACAGUGGCGGCGCCGCCUGGCCCUCAGCGUAGUACAUCUCUCGCUCCAGGGUCCGGUGGCCGCCUGCCAGAACCCCCCAACUCUGUGGUUGACCUCGGAUCAGGUAGGGAUACCCGCUGAACUUAAGCAUAUCAAUAAGCGGAGGA